GAGAGUUUGAUCCUGGCUCAGGAUGAACGCUAGCUACAGGCUUAACACAUGCAAGUCGAGGGGCAGCAUGGUCUUAGCUUGCUAAGGCCGAUGGCGACCGGCGCACGGGUGAGUAACACGUAUCCAACCUGCCGUCUACUCUUGGACAGCCUUCUGAAAGGAAGAUUAAUACAAGAUGGCAUCAUGAGUCCGCAUGUUCACAUGAUUAAAGGUAUUCCGGUAGACGAUGGGGAUGCGUUCCAUUAGAUAGUAGGCGGGGUAACGGCCCACCUAGUCUUCGAUGGAUAGGGGUUCUGAGAGGAAGGUCCCCCACAUUGGAACUGAGACACGGUCCAAACUCCUACGGGAGGCAGCAGUGAGGAAUAUUGGUCAAUGGGCGAGAGCCUGAACCAGCCAAGUAGCGUGAAGGAUGACUGCCCUAUGGGUUGUAAACUUCUUUUAUAAAGGAAUAAAGUCGGGUAUGGAUACCCGUUUGCAUGUACUUUAUGAAUAAGGAUCGGCUAACUCCGUGCCAGCAGCCGCGGUAAUACGGAGGAUCCGAGCGUUAUCCGGAUUUAUUGGGUUUAAAGGGAGCGUAAAUGGAUGUUUAAGUCAGUUGUGAAAGUUUGCGGCUCAACCGUAAAAUUGCAGUUGAUACUGGAUAUCUUGAGUGCAGUUGAGGCAGGCGGAAUUCGUGGUGUAGCGGUGAAAUGCUUAGAUAUCACGAAGAACUCCAAUUGCGAAGGCAGCCUGCUAAGCUGCAACUGACAUUGAGGCUCGAAAGUGUGGGUAUCAAACAGGAUUAGAUACCCUGGUAGUCCACACGGUAAACGAUGAAUACUCGCUGUUUGCGAUAUACUGCAAGCGGCCAAGCGAAAGCGUUAAGUAUUCCACCUGGGGAGUACGCCGGCAACGGUGAAACUCAAAGGAAUUGACGGGGGCCCGCACAAGCGGAGGAACAUGUGGUUUAAUUCGAUGAUACGCGAGGAACCUUACCCGGGCUUAAAUUGCAGAUGAAUUACGGUGAAAGCCGUAAGCCGCAAGGCAUCUGUGAAGGUGCUGCAUGGUUGUCGUCAGCUCGUGCCGUGAGGUGUCGGCUUAAGUGCCAUAACGAGCGCAACCCUUGUUGUCAGUUACUAACAGGUUCUGCUGAGGACUCUGACAAGACUGCCAUCGUAAGAUGUGAGGAAGGUGGGGAUGACGUCAAAUCAGCACGGCCCUUACGUCCGGGGCUACACACGUGUUACAAUGGGGGGUACAGAGGGCCGCUACCACGCGAGUGGAUGCCAAUCCCAAAAACCUCUCUCAGUUCGGACUGGAGUCUGCAACCCGACUCCACGAAGCUGGAUUCGCUAGUAAUCGCGCAUCAGCCACGGCGCGGUGAAUACGUUCCCGGGCCUUGUACACCCCGCCCGUCAAGCCAUGGGAGCCGGGGGUACCUGAAGUGCGUAACCGCGAGGAGCGCCCUAGGGUAAAACUGGUGACUGGGGCUAAGUCGUAACAAGGUAGCCG
RNAcentral lists this ribosomal RNA (1491 nucleotides) under uncultured bacterium. RNAcentral's name for it is "bacterial SSU rRNA". It matches the Rfam family "Bacterial small subunit ribosomal RNA". The record is from RNAcentral.